UACGUAGGGUGCGAGCGUUAAUCGGAAUUACUGGGCGUAAAGCGUGCGCAGGCGGUUUUGUAAGUCAGAUGUGAAAUCCCCGGGCUUAACCUGGGAACUGCGUUUGAAACUACAAGGCUAGAGUGUGGCAGAGGGGGGUGGAAUUCCACGUGUAGCAGUGAAAUGCGUAGAGAUGUGGAGGAACACCGAUGGCGAAGGCAGCCCCCUGGGUUAACACUGACGCUCAGGCACGAAAGCGUGGGGAGCAAACAGGAUUAGAUACCCUGGUAGUCCACGCCCUAAACUAUGUCAACUAGUUGUCGGGCCUUAACGGGCUUGGUAACGAAGCUAACGCGUGAAGUUGACCGCCUGGGGAGUACGGUCGCAAGAUUA
This 372-nucleotide ribosomal RNA is filed under the name uncultured prokaryote. Its description in RNAcentral is "bacterial SSU rRNA". It matches the Rfam family "Bacterial small subunit ribosomal RNA", at positions 524 to 896 of the family's 1533-position model. The record is from RNAcentral.